UUACUUUCCUGGCAAGGGAGACACCAUGAUCAGAAAGGUGGUUUUCCCAGGGUGAAGCUCAUCUAUUGCAUUCUGGGUGUCCUGACCCCUGCGAUUUCCCCAAGUACGAGAAUCUCGACUGCAUAAUUUGUGGUAGUGGGAGACUGCAUUCGCGCUUUCCCCUA
Heteronotia binoei (common prickly gecko) is the source of this 164-nucleotide small nuclear RNA. RefSeq annotates it as U1 spliceosomal RNA. The record is from RefSeq and is a predicted model, not a curated record. The transcript has a single exon. NCBI's taxonomy places the organism in Eukaryota, Metazoa, Chordata, Lepidosauria, Squamata, Gekkonidae.